UAGCUGGUCUGAGAGGAUGRCCAGCCACACUGGAACUGAGACACGGUCCAGACUCCUACGGGAGGCAGCAGUGGGGAAUAUUGGACAAUGGGGGCAACCCUGAUCCAGCAAUGCCGCGUGUGUGAAGAAGGCCUGAGGGUUGUAAAGCACUUUCAGUGGGGAGGAGGGUUGSYAGGUUAAGAGCUARKUAAUGGACGUUACCCACAGAAGAAGCACCGGCUAACUCCGUGCCAGCAGCCGCGGUAAUACGGAGGGUGCGAGCGUUAAUCGGAAUUACUGGGCGUAAAGGGUGCGUAGGUGKUUWAUUAAGUUAUCUGUGAAAUCCCYGGGCUYAACCUGGGCAKGUCAGAUAAUACUGGUUAACUCGAGUAUGG
This 374-nucleotide ribosomal RNA is filed under the name uncultured Legionella sp. Its description in RNAcentral is "partial 16S ribosomal RNA". It matches the Rfam family "Bacterial small subunit ribosomal RNA", at positions 284 to 651 of the family's 1533-position model. The record is from RNAcentral. Lineage: Bacteria; Pseudomonadati; Pseudomonadota; Gammaproteobacteria; Legionellales; Legionellaceae.